Neoarius graeffei (lesser salmon catfish) is the source of this 200-nucleotide small nuclear RNA. RefSeq annotates it as U2 spliceosomal RNA. The record is from RefSeq and is a predicted model, not a curated record. The transcript has a single exon. NCBI's taxonomy places the organism in Eukaryota, Metazoa, Chordata, Actinopteri, Siluriformes, Ariidae.
AUCAUUUUUCUGCAUUUUAGCCAGUUUCGAGCGUAAUAUUUAUUCUAAUCAAUUUGAUAUCUGAUUUAUUUUCUUAACGAGAGUGUUCUAUCAAGCAGAUUUUUUUUUUUUUUUGGAACAAGGAGUUGGGAUAGGGGUUUGCUCUUUCGGCUCCUUGUACUAAUCUGAUGUUGUAGUACCUUUAUAUUUGUUCUAGAAAA